CUCUUAUUCAGAGUGGUGGAGAUACAGGGAUCUGCGAAACCACAGCAACCCCCCAUUGAGGAAGGUGCUAACCUGAGCGAGUAAUCGAGCAAUAAGUA
This 98-nucleotide non-coding RNA is filed under the name Eubacterium sp. Its description in RNAcentral is "SAM-I sequence". It matches the Rfam family "SAM riboswitch aptamer (S box leader)". From Rfam's summary of the family: The SAM riboswitch is found upstream of a number of genes which code for proteins involved in methionine or cysteine biosynthesis in Gram-positive bacteria. RNAcentral also lists the same sequence under 1 other name. The record is from RNAcentral. Lineage: Bacteria; Bacillati; Bacillota; Clostridia; Eubacteriales; Eubacteriaceae.